GGAGAAUCUAUAGGGCUUAGAUGCCACUUCACAAAAAAAUAAAAUAAACACCUGGCAAUAUUGUGCUAACCAAAUUUUGACUGCCAGAACCAGAAUGGCACAGAAAAACCACUUGGUUGAAUUGGGACAUAGUGCAAAAAUGUGGGAGAAAAACAAUAAAUGCAAUGGACCAAUAAUCAUACAAAGAAAAUUCAAACUUAUAUUCUGGGCUUGGGCAAUAAUGUAGAAGAUAGCUAUCAAAAAGGUUCAAAUUAACCAAAUAAAAUUUAAGAUUAAUUUCAUUUUUGUUUUUAAUUUUCUUGAUCGGCUUUUUCUGUUUAUUAUUUAGUUAGAACCUAAUUUAAUUUGAUUUAGUGAUUAAAAAUAUAUCACUUAAAAAAAAAUUCCGUGUUUAUAGAGUUCAUUCUGCACUAAUUAUAGGAAAAUUUUCUACUUCUCUACUUUGAGAUUUUCUUUUUGCCUACCCUUUU
This 470-nucleotide unclassified non-coding RNA is filed under the name Hevea brasiliensis (rubber tree). Lineage: Eukaryota; Viridiplantae; Streptophyta; Magnoliopsida; Malpighiales; Euphorbiaceae. The record is from RNAcentral.